GGAAUGAACUGUGAGGCUGCCUGUGGGAUUUUCUAGGGGUCUCGGUGGGGGUCCAGACAAGCGAGUCUCCAACACGCCCCUGAGGACGGUUGAUGGCUCCCCCAUGAUGAAGGCAGCCAUGUACUCGGUUGAGAUCACUGUGGAGAAGGACAAGGUGACAGGGGAGACCAGGGUGCUGUCCAGCACCACGCUGCUCCCUCGGCAGCCGCUCCCUCUGGGCAUCAAAGUCUACGAGGACGAGACCAAAGUGGUCCAUGCCGUGGACGGCACCGCCGAGAACGGGAUCCACCCGCUGAGCUCCUCCGAGGUGGAUGAACUCAUCCACAAAGCGGACGAGGUCACGCUGAGCGAGGCAGGGUCCACGGCCGGGGCGGCAGAGACCCGGGGGGCUGUGGAGGGGGCAGCCCGGACCACACCCUCCCGGCGGGAGAUCACCGGUGUGCAGGCACAGCCAGGCGAGGCCACGUCCGGCCCGCCGGGGAUCCAGCCCGGCCAGGAGCCCCCGGUCACGAUGAUCUUCAUGGGUUACCAGAACGUGGAGGAUGAGGCCGAGACCAAGAAGGUGCUGGGCCUUCAGGAUACCAUCACGGCGGAGCUGGUGGUCAUCGAAGACGCGGCUGAGCCCAAGGAGCCUGCGCCACCCAACGGCAGUGCCGCCGAGCCUCCCACGGAGGCCGCCUCCAGGGAAGAGAAUCAGGCGGGGCCCGAGGCCACCACCAGCGAACCCCAGGACCUCGACAUGAAGAAGCACCGUUGUAAAUGCUGCUCCAUCAUGUGAGCCGGCCCCCGAGACCCCGGCCCCCACCCCACACCACAGACACCCACCAGCCCGGCCCCUCCCGGCGCCUGCCCACCCUCCACCCACAGCCUCACGGGUCCAGGACUUGGCGUGUUGUUACAUGUUCCUUCCAAGUUUUCUUUCGCUGGAAAGAGGGACAGGGGCCCCCACCCGUCACCACGCCCCGACACUCCCCCCGAACCAGAGCCGUGCACUUGUGCCUGGUAGGAGAGAGACAGGACAGACCCGCUUUUCCCGAGACAAGGACCCCCAUGUCACGGCAGCUUCACAGACGCGGCUCGCGCCCACCGGGGUCCUGGCGGGUGGGACCCGCAGCCUCCAUGCGGCCCAGGCCAGCCUGCCACCCUCUGGGCCUCCCACCUGUGCCUUUCUCUGAGGGGACACCCCGCCAGAGAGGGCCCCGGGAGCCGGGGGCGGGUACUGGGGCCUGCUCAGGCCCUGGAAGCGAGGCUCUAUGGGGUUCCCUGGCCAAGGCGCUGGCCCCCCAAUCUCAGGCAGUUGGGGUGAGGCCGUGCCUCUUUGGGGGCUAAAGGUCUUGGGUGGAGGACAGGCCCCUCUGCUGUGCCCCCAUGCCCUGUGUGGGCCCAACCAGUGGACAAUGGAGUCUGGGGGAGGGGGAACCCCGGGACAUGCCCCCACCCGGGAGGGGCCGGUAACCCCUGGGCUAUCUUCUAGACGGGGCGAACCAGGGGUCAUUGACCUGCCCCCCUGCACAGGGCAGGGACCGAGUGAGCCACUCCUUGUCCCGAGCUCCCGCCCCCACUGGGCCCUCCUUCCUCCUGGUGCUAAUUUGGGGACCCCAGGGGCCGCCCCCGGCCUCUUCUCCAACCUGCUUGGACCAGGGUCCUGGGUCUUCCCAACCAUACCCCGAGAUCAGGCCCCACCUGCCAGCUCUACUGGGCUUGGAGCACGUCCGGGCAGUGGAGGGAGGGACACAGCCUGGGACAGGAAGCCUCUUGGGUUGGAGCAGGAGACCCUCAUUUGCCACCCAGACCAAUGUGAGCCUGCCCCCAGCCCCCUCUCAUUGGAAGUGGCAAGGGGCUUCCCUCCUGGGGGCAGCUACACUCGUCCCCAGAGGCACAUUCGUGUACAUUCUCACAGACACCGUCUCACACGUUGGCUUUGGACAACCAGGCCCCAACUUGGUCCCUGCCCUAGGGACCUCCAGCCUGGUGCCCAGUGCUCAGGCCGCCUCCUGGUCCAGUCACCACCUGCAGCCUCGGCAGGGCAGGUACAGGGGCCACCUCGGAUGGGAGCCUGGGUCCCUGCCUCCGCUCUGCCCCUGGGUGGCUGAGAGGAGAGGCCCUCUCGGGGGUGACCUGGGCGUCAGCCGUGGAACCCCCUCCUCCUCCCUGGAGUCUGCCCGAGUCCCUCGAGCCGCGAGCCUUCGCUGAAGUGCCCUUGCUAUAACCCCCUCUGCUUCUGGUGUGUGACGAGGCCCCCGAUGUUCUUGAUUUUCCCAGAGAAGCAAAUAAACAGCGUGAACAGCC
This 2289-nucleotide small RNA is filed under the name Pan troglodytes (chimpanzee). RNAcentral's name for it is "processed transcript". Lineage: Eukaryota; Metazoa; Chordata; Mammalia; Primates; Hominidae. The record is from RNAcentral.